UUACAUCGCAUGGUGUUUGGUGGAAAGCUUUUGCGGUUCAGGAUGGGCCCGCGGCCUAUCAGCUUGUUGGUGGGGUAAUGGCCUACCAAGGCGACGACGGGUAGCCGACCUGAGAGGGUGAUCGGCCACACUGGGACUGAGACACGGCCCAGACUCCUACGGGAGGCAGCAGUGGGGAAUAUUGCACAAUGGGCGCAAGCCUGAUGCAGCGACGCCGCGUGAGGGAUGACGGCCUUCGGGUUGUAAACCUCUUUCACCAGGGACGAAGCGCAAGUGACGGUACCUGGAGAAGAAGCACCGGCCAACUACGUGCCAGCAGCCGCGGUAAUACGUAGGGUGCGAGCGUUGUCCGGAAUUACUGGGCGUAAAGAGCUCGUAGGCGGUUUGUCGCGUCGUCUGUGAAAUUCUGCAACUCAAUUGUAGGCGUGCAGGCGAUACGGGCAGACUUGAGUACUACAGGGGAGACUGGAAUUCCUGGUGUAGCGGUGAAAUGCGCAGAUAUCAGGAGGAACACCGGUGGCGAAGGCGGGUCUCUGGGUAGUAACUGACGCUGAGGAGCGAAAGCGUGGGUAGCGAACAGGAUUAGAUACCCUGGUAGUCCACGCCGUAAACGGUGGGUACUAGGUGUGGGGCUCAUUUCACGAGUUCCGUGCCGUAGCUAACGCAUUAA
RNAcentral lists this ribosomal RNA (670 nucleotides) under Gordonia amicalis. Its description in RNAcentral is "bacterial SSU rRNA". It matches the Rfam family "Bacterial small subunit ribosomal RNA", at positions 181 to 863 of the family's 1533-position model. Lineage: Bacteria; Bacillati; Actinomycetota; Actinomycetes; Mycobacteriales; Gordoniaceae. The record is from RNAcentral.